Molecule: long non-coding RNA, 1587 nt
Organism: Drosophila gunungcola (fruit fly)
Lineage: Eukaryota; Metazoa; Arthropoda; Insecta; Diptera; Drosophilidae
Exons: 2
Source: RefSeq, a predicted model, not a curated record
AACUGAUAUUUUGUACUAACUGGAAUAACCUUCUGCUUUCCGCCUUUCAACGGGGAUCCCCUAAUGACAUUUCCCGGAACUACUAUAGCUGACUGAUAACCGAUGAUCAUAGGCGUUGAGAUGAUGAUCGGUUUGCUGGCGAAAUUUCUGCCGUGCGGUUCUUAUCAUCCCGACCAGCUGAUAAGACAAGAGAACGAGAGCGAGGAGAGCGGCGAGAGUUGAGCCAGGGCAUUGCGUCAAGUGCGCUAAUCGCUGGAUCCAAAUCGGAACCAGGGCUACAGCUACAGAGCCACCAGCAACAACAAUUGCCGUUAACAAUUGUCGGAGCGACAGCACACUGCUGCGCAAAUUGCACGUCGCGCAGUGUACGAGGCAACAAAAACAACACAGCACAGCAGCUAUCAAGGCGUACGUACAUUUGUAGGUACGUUCACCAAGCCGCUUGGUAAACACAAAAUUACAGCAACAAAAAAUACUAUGGAAAAAACUGUCGGUAUAUAUAUGUAUAUGUAUAUACCGAAAUAUACAGACAGCCCCAACCAACAAAGACUCCAUUCCGCACACACAUAUACAUAUAUAUGUACAUCCACAUCCAAUGUUGCUGACUCGACUCACCGCAUACAUACUGACGCGCCUAUAUAUGUAAGAGCGAGAGAGCAGAGCCGAACGACCGACACACGAAGUACAGUCGCACAGUUAAAAAUAAACGGGGGAGGGAGAUGGCAAGAGAGAGCAGAAGAGGCAGGCAAAGAGAACGAGCGAGGGUAAAACAACAAAGCAAAUGCUGGUAAAUAAUGAUGAUGGAACCAGUGUGCUGUAUAUGUGCUCAUGUAUGUGUAUACUGCACAGUAAAAUUUCAUGUAUUAAAAUCGUUUGUUCGUGUAUAUGCAUGUACACUGUACAGGGUAAGAGCUGCCAUCGCUGCCUCUAUGUGGUUGUUGUUGUCGCUGUUGAUAGCGAGGGACGUAAUAUCGCAACUUUUGCCGUUCCAAACGAACGUUCGUUCGUUCGUUCGUUCGAGUUUAAUUUUGUAAGCUGACGAAGAGAAUGAAUCAAAGGCGGAAAAAGAAGAAGAAUAAGGCUUUAAGCGACCGUUUUUCUAGUGCGUUUCGCUUAGAAUGGCAAAAAUCUCAAAGGGGACGUCGAAUCUCACCCCAAAACGCAUCAUAACACCCCACUUUCAGUAGUGUGGUGAGUGGUAAGUACGGCCUCGCAAGCUCGAUUUAGCGAAGGUUGCCUUUGCCGCUUUGCUGGCGUGGUGGGAUAACGGAUGUUGGAUAUUUCGUCGGAUGUCGGACAACGGUCACAGCGUAACGCGCGCAAAUUCACGUAGUUUGAAUCGGUUUCGGAUUUGGACUCGCUAGCGCAACGUCACAAAGCUAACGGAUCGAACCAAGGUUGGCCCCUGGCAUUUUCCUAUGCCAUAUUGCAUGAGGCAAUCAAAAUGAGAAGGGAGUUUUGAAGAAUUCGGAAUGCGAAGACUUAAUAGUAUUUUUCAAGCAAUAGUUUUUAAGAGGUUUAUGUAAGUAGUCAUUAUUUAUUUUUAUGAAAUAAAGAGUUAUUUAUUGAAAAUUAAGCGCAUUUAAA